GGAGAGAUAGCUCAGUGGUAGUGUGCAUGCUUAGCAUGUAUGAGGCCCCGUGUUCAAUCAGCAGCUUACCA
RNAcentral lists this transfer RNA (71 nucleotides) under Marmota monax (woodchuck). RNAcentral's name for it is "tRNA.Ala". Lineage: Eukaryota; Metazoa; Chordata; Mammalia; Rodentia; Sciuridae. The record is from RNAcentral.